GGCGCUGUGGCUUAGUCGGUCAGAGCUCCUGUCUUGUAAACAGGAGGUCCUGCGUUUGAAACCCAGCAGUGUCU
Non-coding RNA from Solea senegalensis (Senegalese sole), 74 nucleotides. Lineage: Eukaryota; Metazoa; Chordata; Actinopteri; Pleuronectiformes; Soleidae. The record is from the annotation of a RefSeq genome assembly.